This 274-nucleotide unclassified non-coding RNA is filed under the name fungal sp. RNAcentral's name for it is "partial internal transcribed spacer region". The stretch from base 1 to 46 matches the Rfam family "Eukaryotic small subunit ribosomal RNA", at positions 1786 to 1831 of the family's 1831-position model. The record is from RNAcentral. Lineage: Eukaryota; Fungi.
AAGUCGUAACAAGGUUUCCGUAGGUGAACCUGCGGAAGGAUCAUUAUUAAUCCAAAUGAUCAUUAGCUUAAAAAACUAAUGGUCUAACCUUCUUGUGAACUGUUUAAUGUUUUUUUAAUUGGGAGUUUAAUGAGAUGUCAGUUAAUAUUGACAAAUCAACUCCCAAUUGAAUAUAUAUAUAUACAAACUAUUUUAUUUUUUAAAGUUGAUUAUUUUACAGAUAAAAACUGUAUUAAUAUAAAUACAACUUAUAGCGAUGGAUCUCUAGGCUCUG